CUGAGGCUGAAGCUUUUGGGGCCAGGAGUAAAAGGACUUGGUUUGUGCUCGAUUGCAUCCUGUGGGUGCUUGCCUACCAACUGACUCAUCCCGACGUGCCAAAGGCCCUGGCUUUCACCUGUGUGGGUAAGGGAAGAAGAGAUUUCUAAUGAGCGUGGCUGGCAUCGCUUCAUGAUUACAUUCUGGGAAAGAUCUUGCCUGUUAACCGCUAGAGAAGGAGGGAUGAUGCAGACAAUGAAGACUAGCAGACUGAAUUACUCUCUGAGAUGAGGAGUUUGCUAUUGCCAUUGCAGAGCUACUGGUGGAGGUUGUUGUUAAACAGCGGGUCUUGCAUGCAAGCUCUACAGUUAUGCACAGUAUUUCCAUGACAUCCCAAGCCAUGAGGUCCAUGCUGCUGUAUUCCCCUGUUUAACAAGUGUGGAAACUGAUAAUGCACUCACAAUGGCUGAUGUAUCUAAUGUUUUCUAUUGUGGACACAGGACACCCAGACUGAGGUUCGUGGAUUUUUGAAAUUUCCAAUAAUAAGAUAUUUGUGACUUAAUUUUGAGUGGAUGAACUUGAUUUGUUGUGGUUAUAUUGUUCAGUUAGUAUGUAAUUAAAUAUAUAAAUAAAUGAAAAAGGG
Molecule: long non-coding RNA, 622 nt
Filed under: Mus caroli (Ryukyu mouse)
Lineage: Eukaryota; Metazoa; Chordata; Mammalia; Rodentia; Muridae
Description: lncRNA (MGP_CAROLIEiJ_G0013376.1)
Source: RNAcentral